UACGUAGGCAGCGAGCGUUGUUCGGAAUUACUGGGCGUAAAGAGUGUGUAGGCGGUGCUCUAAGUUCGGUGUGAAAUCUCUCGGCUUAACUGGGAGGGUGCGCCGGAAACUGGAGUGCUCGAACGUGGGAGAGGAAAGCGGAAUUCCUGGUGUAGCGGUGAAAUGCGUAGAUAUCUGGAGGAACACCUGCGGUGUAGACGGCUUUCUGGACCAUUGUUGACGCUGAGACACGAAAGCGUGGGUAGCAAACAGG
This 253-nucleotide ribosomal RNA is filed under the name uncultured bacterium. RNAcentral describes it as "partial 16S ribosomal RNA". It matches the Rfam family "Bacterial small subunit ribosomal RNA", at positions 524 to 776 of the family's 1533-position model. The record is from RNAcentral.